This 497-nucleotide ribosomal RNA is filed under the name uncultured bacterium. Its description in RNAcentral is "partial 16S ribosomal RNA". It matches the Rfam family "Bacterial small subunit ribosomal RNA", at positions 28 to 523 of the family's 1533-position model. The record is from RNAcentral.
GAUGAACGCUGGCGGCGUGCUUAACACAUGCAAGUCGAACGAAGCACCUUAUUCUGAUUUCUUCGGAAUGAAAAAUUUGGUGACUGAGUGGCGGACGGGUGAGUAACGCGUGGGUAACCUGCCUCAUACAGGGGGAUAACAGUUAGAAAUGACUGCUAAUACCGCAUAAGACCACAGCACCGCAUGGUGCAGGGGUAAAAACUCCGGUGGUAUGAGAUGGACCCGCGUCUGAUUAGGUAGUUGGUGGGGUAACGGCCUACCAAGCCGACGAUCAGUAGCCGACCUGGGAGGGUGACCGGCCGCAUUGGGACUGAGACACGGCCCAAACUCCUACGGGAGGCAGCAGUGGGGAAUAUUGCACAAUGGGGGAAACCCUGAUGCAGCGACGCCGCGUGAGCGAUGAAGUAUUUCGGUAUGUAAAGCUCUAUCAGCAGGGGAGAAAAUGACGGUACCUGACUAAGAAGCACCGGCUAAAUACGUGCCAGCCGCCGCAGUAA